ACGGAGGGGGCUAGCGUUGUUCGGAUUUAUUGGGCGUAAAGGGCCCGUAGGCGGCUCGGCAAGUUCGACGUGAAAUCUCCCGGCUCAACCGGGAGGGUGCGUUGAAGACUGCCGGGCUGGAGUCAGGGAGAGGGAAGUGGAAUUCCCGGUGUAGUGGUGAAAUGCGUAGAUACUGGGAGGAACACCAGUGGCGAAGGCGGCAUCCUGGCCCUGCCCUGACGCUCAGGGGCGAAAGCGUGGGGAGCAAACGG
RNAcentral lists this ribosomal RNA (251 nucleotides) under uncultured prokaryote. RNAcentral's name for it is "partial 16S ribosomal RNA". It matches the Rfam family "Bacterial small subunit ribosomal RNA", at positions 525 to 775 of the family's 1533-position model. The record is from RNAcentral.